Molecule: long non-coding RNA, 1424 nt
Filed under: Anas platyrhynchos platyrhynchos (common mallard)
Lineage: Eukaryota; Metazoa; Chordata; Aves; Anseriformes; Anatidae
Description: lncRNA (ENSAPLG00000029383.1)
Source: RNAcentral
GCCCGGCUCCAGUCGCUCUGGAUGCGCAGCGCGGCCGCCAUCUUGGCGAGGCGCCCUCCUCCUUCCCGUCAGCCCCCGCGCGGCGGAAGCGGGGCUGCGCCGUCCAAUCAGCGCGCGGCCUCUCUCCCCGCUCCCCGGCGGAGCCCCGCCCACGGCGCGGGAACCCGGAAGCGGGGCUUAAAGGGGCCGCGCCGCGCUGCUCGGGUGCGGGGGGCACCCAUGGGUGCAUGGGGGGGAGGAGCUCGGGGGGGGAAUAAGGGGGUGCUGAGCACCCAUGGAGAGUGUAUGGGUGUCCUGGGGGUGCUGGGUGCCCUGGGGGCUGCUGGGCACCCCUGGGUGCAUUAGGGGUGCUGGGUGCCCUGAGGGGGUGCAUGGGGGCUCCUGGGUGCUCUGCGGGGUGUUGGGCACCCAUGGGUGCAUGGGGAGGGUGCUGGGUGCCUGGGGGGUUCUGGGCACCCAUGGGUGCCCUGUGGGUGCUGGGUGCCCUUUGGGGGUGUAUGGGGGGUGCUGGGCACCCAUGGGUGUAUGGGGAGGGUGCUGGGUGCCCUGGGGGCUGCUGGGCACCCCUGGGUGCAUUAGGUGUUCUGGGUGCCCUUUGGGGGUGUAUGGGGGGUGCUGGGUGCCCUGCGGGGUGUUGGGCACCCAUGGGUGUAUGGGGAGGGUGCUGGGUGCUUGGAGGGUGCUGGGCACCCAUGGGUGCAUGGUGGGUGGGUGCUGAGCACCCCUGGGUGCCCUGGGGGCUGCUGGGCACCCCUGGGUGCAUUAGGGGUGCUGGGUGCCCUGAGGGGGUGCAUGGGGGCUCCUGGGUGCUCUGCGGGGUGUUGGGCACCCAUGGGUGCAUGGGGAGGGUGCUGGGUGCCCUAGGGGGUUCUGGGCACCCAUGGGUGUAUGGGGAGGGUGCUGGGUGCAUGGGGAGUGCUGGGCACCCAUGGGUGCAUGGGGGGUGCUUGGUUCCCUGGGGAGUGCUGGGUGCCCUAGGUGGUGCACAGGGAGGUGCUGGGUGCCCUGGGGGAGUAUUCAGCACCCAUGGGUGCCCUGGGGAGUUCUGGGUACCCUAGGUGGUGCACAGGGGGGUGCUGGGCACCCAUGGGUGCAUGGGGGGUGCUGGGUGUUCUGAGGGUUGCUGAGCACCCAUAGGUGGGGGGUGGCAGGGUGCUGGGCGAACACCCCCAAAAUUCAGGGGAGGCAGCACCCCACUGUCCCCCCACCCAAUUCACCCCCAAACCACCUCCAGCAGCGGGGCGAUGGCGAAGCCCGGCCACUCCUGGAACCGCCGCAGGUCCAAAAAGGAGGAAGAGGAAGAGGAGGAGGAAGGCGAGGACCCCGUGGACGCGAUGAUCGCGCGGACGGGCUGCACGGCGCAGCACUGGGCGCUGCAGGAGUGCAUGGCCGAGCACCGCGACUGGCGGCGCUGCCAGCCCCAC